CGCUGCGGCCCAGGCUCCUCCCCGCGCGGGGCAUGGUGCCGUCCUUGCCCGCGUGCAGCCGGGAGCUCACGGAGGACAGGCUCUCGGCCCGCUCCAGGGAGAGGCAUUCGUAGUGGCUGACUGUCGCCCUGCCCAGCGAGUUGCUUCUGCUGGCCAGCUGCUCCAGCUUGGCACUGAAGAGCUUGCUGCUGCUGCUGGCGUCCUUCGUCUUGCCGCUAGGCUCGUCUGGGAGGCCCGCCGGGAAGGCGGCUGGUUGGUUCAGGGGGCUGCUGGUGCCGCUGCCGCUGGCACUGUGCUGAGGGCUGGCCCGGUUCUUCUGGUCCAGGCUGGACUUUCGGACAGGGGGCAGAGGGGGAGUCCCUUUGGGCCGAGCCAGAACACAGUGCUUGGGGGAAGCCACCUUCCCCUCCAGGG
Molecule: long non-coding RNA, 414 nt
Filed under: Homo sapiens (human)
Lineage: Eukaryota; Metazoa; Chordata; Mammalia; Primates; Hominidae
Description: HSALNT0025289
Source: RNAcentral